UAAAUAUUUUUUUUGUUUUUUCUAUCUAUUCAAGAAUAAAAUAAAAAAAUUUUCUUCAAAUCUAUACUCGUUUCAACUGUACUUUUUCUAUUGGUUAAUAUUAUAGAAUAAAAAAUAUUUUUCUUUCCUAAUCUGAACUUGUUACACCUGUAGUUUUUCUAUUGGUCAACAGCACAUCAAUUCGCUGAUAAAUAGUAUUUUUUUCUUCCAAUCUGAAUUGGUUGCACCUGUACAUUUUUUUAUUGAAAAAUAGUACAUAAAAUUUGGAGAUAAUUUUAAAUAAUACUCAACAUGACCAGUAUAUAAGUUGUAGAAUCGCGUAAAAUUUUUAAACGUUAUUUGAAAGUCUUCUGUUUCGUGGCAUUAAGUUUGAAACAAAAAAGAAAUAGUGAAAUCCGUCUAAUUAUUCCUGUGUAAUACACCUACCGUAUAAAUUUGACACCAUACGUAUUUGCGGUCGAUUACAUUUAAAUAUCAACUGGGAAAAGUGACAAUGUAUUCUUUAAGGAUCAUGAUAAGCUUAGUAAUAAUCUGCUUCCUAAUUUCGAUGAUCAGAAGCGAACAGAGUAACUUCACUAUGGAUAAAGUAAAUGAAGUAAAACAAGUUUUGAAUAAUUUGGAAAGUCAUUUGGACGCAACAGCUGAUAAAUUAAACGAACAAAAACUACCUAAACAAGAAAAAGGAUUUUGGAAAAAAUUUUUGCAGAUUUUUGCGAACAAUAUACAACACAUUCGCAAUUUACUAUAAAAAAAUUCGUUAAUUUAUGGAUAAAUAAAAUAAUUGUAAACAAAAAAAGAUUUUGUCUUUUACUGUAUCUAAGCAAACAUAUAAAUAAACAAGCAUUUAAACAGUCA
Long non-coding RNA from Leptopilina heterotoma, 855 nucleotides. RefSeq lists it as uncharacterized. The record is from RefSeq and is a predicted model, not a curated record. Lineage: Eukaryota; Metazoa; Arthropoda; Insecta; Hymenoptera; Figitidae. The transcript is spliced from 2 exons.